UUUCGAAAGGAACGCUAAUACCGCAUACGUCCUACGGGAGAAAGCAGGGGACCUUCGGGCCUUGCGCUAUCAGAUGAGCCUAGGUCGGAUUAGCUAGUUGGUGAGGUAAUGGCUCACCAAGGCGACGAUCCGUAACUGGUCUGAGAGGAUGAUCAGUCACACUGGAACUGAGACACGGUCCAG
Molecule: ribosomal RNA, 183 nt
Filed under: uncultured Pseudomonadales bacterium
Lineage: Bacteria; Pseudomonadati; Pseudomonadota; Gammaproteobacteria; Pseudomonadales
Description: partial 16S ribosomal RNA
Rfam family: Bacterial small subunit ribosomal RNA
Source: RNAcentral